GGAAGGUCCGGGCGUUAUCCGGAUUUAUUGGGUUUAAAGGGAGCGUAGGCGGAUUUUUAAGUCAGUUGUGAAAGUUCACGGCCCAACCGUGAAAUUGCAGUUGAAACUGAAAGUCUCGAGUGCACGCAGGGAUGCUGGAAUUCGUGGUGUAGCGGUGAAAUGCUUAGAUAUCACGAAGAACUCCGAUCGCGAAGGCAUGUGUCCGGAGUGCAACUGACGCUGAGGCUCGAAUGUGCGGGUAUCAAACAGGAUUAGAUACCCUGGUAGUCCGCACAGUAAACGAUGGACACUCGCUGUUGGCGAUAUACAGUCAGCGGCCGAGCGAAAGCGUUAAGUGUCCCACCUGGGGAGU
This 352-nucleotide ribosomal RNA is filed under the name uncultured bacterium. RNAcentral describes it as "bacterial SSU rRNA". It matches the Rfam family "Bacterial small subunit ribosomal RNA", at positions 527 to 881 of the family's 1533-position model. The record is from RNAcentral.